RNAcentral lists this ribosomal RNA (579 nucleotides) under uncultured bacterium. RNAcentral describes it as "bacterial SSU rRNA". It matches the Rfam family "Bacterial small subunit ribosomal RNA", at positions 338 to 916 of the family's 1533-position model. The record is from RNAcentral.
CCUACGGAAGGCAGCAGUAAGGAAUAUUGGACAAUGGUCGCAAGACUGAUCCAGCCAUGCCGCGUGAAGGAUGAAGGCCCUAUGGGUUGUAAACUUCUUUUGUAUGGGAAAAAACCCUUCUACGUGUAGAAGGCUGAUUGUACCAUAAGAAUAAGGAUCGGCUAACUCCGUGCCAGCAGCCGCGGUAAUACGGAGGAUCCAAGCGUUAUCCGGAUUCAUUGGGUUUAAAGGGUGCGUAGGCGGAAUGAUAAGUCAGUGGUGAAAUCCUGCAGCUUAACUGCAGAACUGCCAUUGAUACUGUCAAUCUUGGGUACAUUUGAUGUGGGCGGAAUGUGUCAUGUAGCGGUGAAAUGCUUAGAUAUGACACAGAACACCGAUUGCGAAGGCAGCUCACAAAACUGUAACUGACGCUGAGGCACGAAAGCGUGGGUAUCAAACAGGAUUAGAUACCCUGGUAGUCCACGCUGUAAACUAUGAUUACUCGAUGUUUGCGAUACACUGUAAGCGUCUAAGCGAAAGCGAUAAGUAAUCCACCUGGGGAGUACGCUCGCAAGAGUGAAACUCAAAUUGAAUUGACGG